UCUGGUGACAUUAACGCAGUGGCACCACCCGUUCCCAUUCCGAACACGGCAGUGAAACGCUGCAGCCCCGAUGGUAGUACGGCGACAGGCCGUGCGAGAGUAGGACGUCGCCAGAA
This 116-nucleotide ribosomal RNA is filed under the name Verrucomicrobiota bacterium. The record is from RNAcentral. Lineage: Bacteria; Pseudomonadati; Verrucomicrobiota.